CCCUUAGAUGUUCUGGGCCGCACGCACGCUACACUGACGAAGUCAGCGAGCAUGUCCUACGCCGACAGGUGCGGGGAAUCUUGUCAAACUUCGUCGUGAUGGGGAUUGAUUAUUGAAAUUCUUGAUCAUCAACGAGGAAUUCCUAGUAAGCGCAAGUCAGCAGCUUGCGUUGAUUACGUCCCUGCCCUUUGUACACACCGCCCGUCGCUACUACCGAUUGAAUGGUUUAGUGAGAUCUUCGGAUUGGCGCCACUGCGGCUCAGCAAUGGGCUCGGUGGAUGCCGAAAAGUUGAUCAAACUUGAUCAUUUAGAGGAAGUAAAAGUCGUAACA
RNAcentral lists this ribosomal RNA (331 nucleotides) under uncultured eukaryote. Its description in RNAcentral is "partial 18S ribosomal RNA". It matches the Rfam family "Eukaryotic small subunit ribosomal RNA", at positions 1470 to 1796 of the family's 1831-position model. The record is from RNAcentral.